This 1086-nucleotide ribosomal RNA is filed under the name Triticum aestivum (bread wheat). RNAcentral describes it as "partial small subunit ribosomal RNA". Lineage: Eukaryota; Viridiplantae; Streptophyta; Magnoliopsida; Poales; Poaceae. The record is from RNAcentral.
AUGCUGUCGGCGCGGAGCCUGCGGAAGGCGUCCAUCCCGCCGUCCCUUCUCUCCGACCCCUCGCCCGGCUGCCUCCAGCCCACGCGCCUCGCCGUCCACGUCAAUGGCGACGGCGGCUCCUGCUCCGCCUACUUCGCCUCCGGUUGCCGCGUCUACAAGCUCGAGAUAUCCAUGGAAGAGGAGAUGCUGUCCAGAGGAAAAGAGAGCCUGUUGAUUCCUAUCAAUGCACAGGUCAUAAGCUCGUCGGUUGUGGACCGCUGCCCGCAUCGUUCGGAGAUUCAGAGUGUAGUUCUGGCUGAGGGUGAAGGUGAUAGCUGCUUGAUUUUGGGAACCGUCGACUCUUAUGGUCACCUCAUUGUAUCCCGUUUGGACACUGUGGCUGAGGACAUCGACAGGGCAUCCUAUUCAGUACCACCUCACGAUAGUGGUGUCGGAGAAGGAAGUUGGGCUGGGUUGUGUUUUAGUCCAACACACCAUUCCACGGUAGCUGUUGCUCGUGAAUUGUGUAAGAGCAUUGAUAUCUAUGAUCAAGAUAUUCAUAUUCGGAGUUUACGUACGUUAUGGUACCCAUCUUCAGUAAGGUUUCCUCAAUGCUUUCCUCAAGGGAGUGAAUGUAGCUCGAUAUUGGCAAUUACUGAAGGUCCUCAGCUGAGCAUCUGGGACUUCAGAAUGCAUAACAACGGUGGAUGUGUACAACGCGUUUCUGGUCCUACUGGAGGCAUACUAUACUCAGUCUGUACCUCUCCUUCAGGACUGAUUGCUGUCGGUGGAACUGAUCGUGCUGUAACAAUCUAUGAUCCUCGCAGGUGGUCGGCCUUAUCAAGAUGGGUGGGCUGCUCCAAGUAUGAGAUAACUGGUCUUUCGUUUUCGUCAGUGGACCAAUCCUUCAUAUACGUCCAAGGUGUUGAUUAUGAGAUUACCUGUGGACGCUGGAGAGAAAGUGAGCGUGCAUUCUCAUUCCGAGGUGAUUCGAACUGGCUGGGCUUUUCAAAGUGUGCGAACACAGAUGUGGUUGCUGGGUGGUGCGAGUCUGGAAGUAUCUUCGUUGCUGAUGUUAGGCAGGAUCUCUCGGUAAUUGGGGUUUAA